Stegostoma tigrinum is the source of this 1419-nucleotide long non-coding RNA. RefSeq lists it as uncharacterized. Lineage: Eukaryota; Metazoa; Chordata; Chondrichthyes; Orectolobiformes; Stegostomatidae. The transcript has 3 exons. The record is from RefSeq and is a predicted model, not a curated record.
CAGAACUCUGCAUCUUGUGACAAGGGCAUUUCUGGUAACUCAUACACGUUCCUCUGAAAGCACCAUUACCAUCUCAAAGGACAAGGGCAGCAGAUACAUGGGAACGUCACCAUUUGCAACUUGCCUUCCAAGCCACUGACCAUCCUGACUUGAAAAUAUAUUGUCAUUCCUCCGCUGCUGCUCGGUCAAAUUCUGCAAUGCGCAGGGGCAUCCACACCACAGACUGCAGCAGUUCCAGAAGGUCGCUCACCACCACCUUGUCAAAGGAAAUCGGGGAUGGGCGAUAUAUGCCGGCCCCAGCAGUGAUUUCCACACCCCUGAACAAAUAAAAACAACAUGAGGGAUCUGUGCAGUUAUCAACCUGGGACCAUGCCUGAGAAUCGAGGCCUUCCUUGAAGAGAAGGAGUGAAAUACCAACAAACUCUGCAUCGUCACCCUGACUGAGACUAGCUGAAUCCUUAUUGGCUGCCAGAGACCUGCACUCCAUUGCCAUAGCCAUUGGAGUUCAACUACAAGGUGGCUCAGGAAAUUUGACAUGUCCAUAAGGCCCCUCACCAAUUCCUACAAAUGCACCAUUGAAAACAUACUGUCCGGGUGCAUAACGGCCUGGUAUGGCAACUGCUCUGCCCAGGACUGUAAGAAACUACAGAAGGUGACGUGCACAGCCCAACCCAUCACAGAAGCUCACUGCCAUGGAAAGACAGCCAACAUCAUCAAGCACCCACACACCCGGGUAAUGAUCUUCCACAAUCUCUUCCAUCAGGCAGGGGAGACAGAAACCCGAAUGAUUGAGCAAGCAGAUUCAGGAACAGCUUCUUCCUGGCCGUAAUCAGACUGUUGAAUGGAUUCUAGCCUCACAUAAUGUAACCUGCAAUGUAACCUGUAUGUCUCUCAGUCUUUUUGAUCUAUACAUCCUUUGCUUGUUGUGAUCUGCCUGCACCACUCAUAAACAAAGCUUUUCACUGGAUUUUGGUACAAUAAAUAAAUCAAUUAAUCAGUCAAAAUAUAUAGCUGGGGUUCAAAAGAAUAUUCCAGGCAAUGUUAGCCUUUCAGGUAGCAAUAGCUAGUAGCCAGUUUGGAUUCUAUGAGAUUCCUACCCAGAUACCUGUUGUGAAGCAUAAAAGAUGAAGUGCACAUGCAUUUUCAGUGAUCUUAUCAACAUCACAUUCUGUUAACAAACUGGAAGUUAGUUCUGUUAGGAUCUACAAGUCUGCCCUCAGCCAAUGAUGGCAAUAAAAGGACAAAGCAGCAGUCUGUGGCUGUUCAAUGAUGCUGGGAAACUGGUAGAAUUUGCUGUUUGUCUGAAUACUAUAGUGUCUUGAGAAUUUGGUUCUGUCACUCCUGAUUCGAGGCUGGGGUCUUGAAGGUUGUCAGUAAUAGAGAAAAUGAACUCUGUCAUCACACCUUCACUUAGCAUCA